RNAcentral lists this long non-coding RNA (574 nucleotides) under Triticum aestivum (bread wheat). RNAcentral describes it as "long non-coding RNA (TAES_LNC013501)". The record is from RNAcentral. Lineage: Eukaryota; Viridiplantae; Streptophyta; Magnoliopsida; Poales; Poaceae.
GGAGAGGCGAGACGGUGGUUUUGGAAUGGAGAUGAUGGAGAGGAGAGGUUUCCCUGCCUUUCGGUCACUGACAGGUGGGCCCCGUGCUUGGUGGGACCCAUGUGUCAGUGUCUCAAUGGCAGGAUGGGCUAUGUCAGGGGAUCCUCGCCCGAGGAGAGAGGAGUUGAUUUUGCAAUGGAGAAGAGGGAGAGGCGAGACGGUGGUUUUGGAAUGGAAAUGAUGGAGAGGAGAGGAGGUUGUUUUGCAAUGGAGAAGAGGGAGAGGAGCGUGCGGCAGCGAUUUAGGAUUGGACGAGAGGGCCGGCGCGCUGUGACUGGAUCAAAAUCAAAAUCAAUUUACCCUUCAAUUAAGAAAGCGACCCCACAUUAACUAGACUCCCUUUUAUUCUAGGUCAUAAUUGACCAUGAUUUUCACAAAUAAAAUAUAUGUUAUACGUUGCAAAAAUAAUAUAAUUUGAAAGUACAUUCAAAUACGAACCAACAAUACAAUUUUUGGUGACAUCCAUUCAUAUUUUGCUUGUCAAAUACAGUACGUGGUCAAACUUUGACACAAAAUACGCAAAACAAAAAAAAUA